UGGGGAAUAUUGCACAAUGGGCGAAAGCCUGAUGCAGCAACGCCGCGUGAGUGAUGAAGGCCUUCGGGUUGUAAAACUCUGUCUUCUGGGACGAUAAUGACGGUACCAGAGGAGGAAGCCACGGCUAACUACGUGCCAGCAGCCGCGGUAAUACGUAGGUGGCAAGCGUUGUCCGGAUUUACUGGGCGUAAAGAAUGCGUAGGCGGAUAUCUAAGUCAGAUGUGAAAUACCCGGGCUUAACUUGGGUGCUGCAUUUGAAACUGGAUAUCUAGAGUGCGGGAGAGGAGAGUGGAAUUCCUAGUGUGGCGGUGAAAUGCGUAGAGAUUAGGAAGAACACCAGUGGCGAAGGCGACUCUCUGGACCGUAACUGAUGCUGAGGCAUGAAAGCGUGGGGGGCAAACA
This 402-nucleotide ribosomal RNA is filed under the name uncultured prokaryote. RNAcentral describes it as "bacterial SSU rRNA". It matches the Rfam family "Bacterial small subunit ribosomal RNA", at positions 355 to 774 of the family's 1533-position model. The record is from RNAcentral.